RNAcentral lists this long non-coding RNA (842 nucleotides) under Triticum aestivum (bread wheat). RNAcentral's name for it is "long non-coding RNA (TAES_LNC005604)". Lineage: Eukaryota; Viridiplantae; Streptophyta; Magnoliopsida; Poales; Poaceae. The record is from RNAcentral.
UGGGAUCAUCAUGGAUUGGGAUGCAUUUUGAUAAUAAGAUAUUAGGUAUUGAUAUGUGAUAUGUAUGUCACACUUGACUUCAUCAUCCUUUGUUUUUAGAUGUAUUCUUUAGGCAUACAUUAAUGUGGUAGCUUGGUCAUAUUAUUUAGCUAAUUUAGUCACUAAAUACUCGGAUUUUUUCCCGACUCCCAUUAUAAAGAACUUCCACUUGCCAUCUCUAUAUGAAUUUUCUUUUUGCUACCGAUUUUGGCUAAAGGUUUUUUGGCUCUCAUCUCUAUAUGGAUAUGUUUUUUUAAGGUUAGUAGUUUAGAAGUUCCUGCCAACACUGGUUUUUCGAAGUUAUACUCCCUUCACCAGUUGGGCUUAACAAGGACAUAAUUAAUUCUCUGUUGGUAAUUAGAAGGAAAAAAAUCUGGUUGGAGAAAACUUCUCUUUUGCUUAAUUGUUUACUUCAUAAUUUUAGUAAAAAAAAUCAUUUUUUUCAGGUUAGUAGUAUGGGAGUACCUGUCAAGACUGACUUUUGGAAGUUAUGCUAGCCUCAUCAGUUGGGCUUUCUAUACAAAACUAGACUCAAUAUAAUUUAUUUUGGUGCUUGCGAUGAGUAUUAGACAGAGGGGUGAUGACCACAUAGUUCACCCAGUGUAUCUGUUCAUGUAUGUCAUUAAUUAUCUAAUUAGACAAAAAAAACUCUCUCUGUAUGGUGUUUGUGAUGAUGCUGUCAAUUUACUAAACACUAAAAUACCAGGUUGUUAUUUUCAAAUCUAGCAAAUUAAUUUUCUCUAUUGCUUCUUUUCCAGGCAGAAGUUUUAGUCUAUUAUGUUCCAUGAGUCUUACUGUCAAAA